This 545-nucleotide long non-coding RNA is filed under the name Manihot esculenta (cassava). Its description in RNAcentral is "long non-coding RNA (MESC_LNC007534)". Lineage: Eukaryota; Viridiplantae; Streptophyta; Magnoliopsida; Malpighiales; Euphorbiaceae. The record is from RNAcentral.
GCUUAGCCUGGUGGAAAGUGCAUCCUGUAGCCUUUGAAAGGUCUAAGGUUCGACUCCCCCAACCCCCUAUUUCAAAAAAAAAAUCUUGCUACUUAGUAUCAGACAAGAAAGGUGGAUAUUGCUUGUUGUAUGGAAUGGGUUUCCUACUAGAUAAUAAUUGAAAGGCUUAAAUUUUAAGGAGUUGAAAAGAGGCUGCAGUACUUGGGGCAAGAAGACAUGAAUUUGUCGAUCUAGCCUGUGAAAAUAUUUAUCAUUUUAUCUUAAUAUAGACGGGUAGAAUUCAGAGUAGAAUGAGCAUAAUUGAUGAUGCAGAAUUUAUUAGAAGUGAGAAUUAGAAUAACUGUUUGUAUGGAUUGUUAUUGCUCUAAUGGAUAGAUGAGCUUGAUUGUUUUUUUUUUUUUGGAAUAGAAUUCAGAUUUCAGAACCUGGACACUUUAGAUGUAAGUAAUGAACGACCAUAUUAUCAGGGUACUUAAGGAUUUAUCUGCAAGGUUUAGUGUUCUGCCCCCAUUAUCACUUCAGCUUUAAAAAAUUAAUGAAGCGUA